This 473-nucleotide ribosomal RNA is filed under the name uncultured bacterium. RNAcentral describes it as "bacterial SSU rRNA". It matches the Rfam family "Bacterial small subunit ribosomal RNA", at positions 328 to 793 of the family's 1533-position model. The record is from RNAcentral.
CGCUAUCACUCCUACGGGAGGCAGCAGUGGGGAAUAUUGCACAAUGGGCGCAAGCCUGAUGCAGCCAUGCCGCGUGUGUGAAGAAGGCCUUCGGGUUGUAAAGCACUUUCAGUCGUGAGGAAGGUAGUGUAGUUAAUAGCUGCAUUAUUUGACGUUACCUACAGAAGAAGCACCGGCUAACUCCGUGCCAGCAGCCGCGGUAAUACGGAGGGUGCGAGCGUUAAUCGGAAUUACUGGGCGUAAAGCGCAUGCAGGCGGCCUGUUAAGUCAGAUGUGAAAGCCCGGGGCUUAACCUCGGAAUUGCAUUUGAAACUGGCAGGCUAGAGUCUUGUAGAGGGGGUAGAAUUUCAGGUGUAGCGGUGAAAAUGCGUAGAGAUCUGAAGGAAUACCAGUGGCGAAGGCGGCCCCCUGGACAAAGACUGACGCUCAGAUGCGAAAGCGUGGGGAGCAAACAGGAUUAGAUACCCUGGUAG